GGUCCUACGGGGGGCAGCAGUGAGGAAUAUUGGUCAAUGGACGAGAGUCUGAACCAGCCAAGUAGCGUGAAGGAUGACUGCCCUAUGGGUUGUAAACUUCUUUUACAAAGGAAUCCAACGAGGCACGUGUGCCUUUUUGCAUGUACUUUAUGAAUAAGGAUCGGCUAACUCCGUGCUAGCAGCCGCGGUAAUACGGAGGAUCCGAGCGUUAUCACGAUUUAUUGGGUUUAAAGGGAGCGUAGAUGGGUUGUUAAGUCAGUUGUGAAAGUUUGCGGCUCAACCGUAAAAUUGCAAUU
This 296-nucleotide ribosomal RNA is filed under the name uncultured bacterium. RNAcentral's name for it is "partial 16S ribosomal RNA". It matches the Rfam family "Bacterial small subunit ribosomal RNA", at positions 335 to 628 of the family's 1533-position model. The record is from RNAcentral.